Long non-coding RNA from Micropterus salmoides (largemouth bass), 401 nucleotides. RefSeq lists it as uncharacterized. Lineage: Eukaryota; Metazoa; Chordata; Actinopteri; Centrarchiformes; Centrarchidae. The transcript is spliced from 3 exons. The record is from RefSeq and is a predicted model, not a curated record.
CGCCGCACUCUGAAGGGGAAAUCAGAUAUACGGAGCUUUUUUGCCCGACGACCACCGAUCCAAUUCCCGUUUUUUCGCACAAAAUGUCUCCGAGGCGAUGUUAUGAUUUCGUUUUCGGGAGAAGGACGCUGUCACAUCGCGAUCGGCUGUGGAGGGGGAGGGGCCGCGCAAUCACGCCCUACGUGAAAACACCGCUCCCGCUGACCGCUGGGAGCGCCACAGCACCGCCAAAGACAAGCAAUUCACAAGUCCGUCCCUUCAACUUCUUACAAAUGUGCGCUACUGGAGAGACGGUGUGCCCAUGAACCUGCGGAGUCCCACACCUCUGUGCACGCUAGGGCUACAGCGACACGGCCUGAAAAUCACGAAGAAUUAUCUAACAACGUGAGGCAGGAGGUUAA